ACUAAUGUGGCAGAUUAGUGCGGUGGAUUUAAGCUCCUCAUAUACUCUUUGAGUUAUUAGUA
RNAcentral lists this transfer RNA (62 nucleotides) under Parasitus wangdunqingi. RNAcentral describes it as "tRNA-Leu". The record is from RNAcentral. Lineage: Eukaryota; Metazoa; Arthropoda; Arachnida; Mesostigmata; Parasitidae.